GUGGUGAGGGGAUGGUCUGUAAUGUGGCCGCUGAAGAAAUCAAGGAAGUGAAGGCGAAGGCCCUGGUGAUCAGGAAUUGUCUUGUGUGAGUUGGAAAGGAUGAGUGAAAUGCGCAGGCUUUGCCCACAGAUGGACUUGAGUUUGAAUCCUGACCUAGACAGGGUCUUCUCUCUCCUCUCCUCUCUACGGCAGCUUCCCAUCCCCUAAUGGUGGCCUCCAGGGUUUGUUCUCGGUGUCCUUGGCCGCCAUUUUGGAUUCUUCCCUCCCUCACAAAUGGCUCCCAGGCCCUGGCAUUCCUCGCCCCCCAGUCCUUCCAUUCACACUUGGUCUUUGGAAGGCCUCCAUCUUCUUCCUCACCUGCCUGGCUACACACCUGUAAUGAAGCCUGCUAGGGCCGGGCCACAAACAAGGCGCAGUGCAGAGACAGGACAGGAUCUGCCACAUUGCCAACCCCAAAGAGGUGCUCGGUGGAGAGGAGGCAGGUGUGCAAACAACCCGCUAAGAUGUAGUCCAGGGGCAUACGUGCCCUGCGUCGGACAGUUACACCGGGCUUGUGUCUGUAAGCACAGCUCUCUGGUUCACACGCCCCCUCUGCUAAGAGGCACAGCCCCUUGGGGAAGUCUACCCCGCCAAGUAGUUCCAAUAUUUCCACGGCUGAUUCGCAUACAGCUACAAUCCAGCCUGGCGGGUGCCACGAGGACUUGGGCUCCAAGGCGUCCUCUAAGCGUGUUGCCUUUGUUCCCACUCCGGCUGGCAGUCCUGGUGAGUCCCCUGCUGUCCUGCUGCCUCCGUCCAGCACUGGGGCUGAGACCCGGGGACCUCAGAAUGCCCAUGCUUCUGUACAGUGGGCAGGAGAGGGUGCUUUUCUGUCUUGUCUGCUGGAGGAGCCCAAAUCCCAGCUGCCUAGGGCCAGCAUCCCACACAGCUUCGCAGAACAGCUUCACCUACAGCUGCAGUUGGCUGGGGCUGCUAACCAGUCCCGGCAUCAGCCCCAGCAGGCAGGUGGAGAGCUUUUCUUC
RNAcentral lists this long non-coding RNA (1019 nucleotides) under Ursus maritimus (polar bear). RNAcentral's name for it is "lncRNA (ENSUMAG00000010145.1)". The record is from RNAcentral. Lineage: Eukaryota; Metazoa; Chordata; Mammalia; Carnivora; Ursidae.